RNAcentral lists this ribosomal RNA (468 nucleotides) under uncultured bacterium. RNAcentral's name for it is "partial 16S ribosomal RNA". It matches the Rfam family "Bacterial small subunit ribosomal RNA", at positions 28 to 507 of the family's 1533-position model. The record is from RNAcentral.
GACGAACGCUGGCGGCGUGCUUAACACAUGCAAGUCGAACGGAAAGGCCCUGCUUUUGUGGGGUGCUCGAGUGGCGAACGGGUGAGUAACACGUGAGUAACCUGCCCUUGACUUUGGGAUAACUUCAGGAAACUGGGGCUAAUACCGGAUAGGAGCUCCUGCUGCAUGGUGGGGGUUGGAAAGUUUCGGCGGAUGGGGAUGGACGCGCGGCUUAUCAGCUUGUUGGUGGGGUAGUGGCUUACCAAGGCUUUGACGGGUAGCCGGCCUGAGAGGGUGACCGGCCACAUUGGGACUGCGAUACGGCCCAGACUCCUACGGGAGGCAGCAGUGGGGAAUAUGGCACAAUGGUCGGAAGCCUGAUGCAGCAACGUCGCAUGCGGGAUGACGGCCUUCGUGUUGUAAACCGCUUUCGCCUGUGACGAAGCUUGAGUGACGGUAAUGGGUAAAGAAGCACCGGCUAACUACGUG